UAUUAGGUUGGUGCAAAAGUGAUUGUGGUUUUAGUCAUUACAAUUAUUUUUUAAAUGGCAAAAACCACAAUUACUUUUUCAAAAACCUAAUA
RNAcentral lists this microRNA precursor (92 nucleotides) under Mandrillus leucophaeus (drill). Its description in RNAcentral is "miRNA (ENSMLEG00000015665.1)". The record is from RNAcentral. Lineage: Eukaryota; Metazoa; Chordata; Mammalia; Primates; Cercopithecidae.